Molecule: transfer RNA, 75 nt
Filed under: Streptomyces chryseus
Lineage: Bacteria; Bacillati; Actinomycetota; Actinomycetes; Kitasatosporales; Streptomycetaceae
Description: tRNA-Pro
Rfam family: tRNA
About the family: Transfer RNA (tRNA) molecules are approximately 80 nucleotides in length. Their secondary structure includes four short double-helical elements and three loops (D, anti-codon, and T loops).
Source: RNAcentral
CGGGACAUAGCUCAGCUUGGAAGAGCAUCCGCUUUGGGAGCGGACGGCCGCAGGUUCAAAUCCUGCUGUCCCGAC